CUAAAAUUCAUUUUAAAUUCUAUAUAUUUCAAUAUAUCAUUUACAGUAUAUAUUUAUCAAUUAUUUUCAUUUAUUAAGUACUAUAGUAAAAUUCUUUUAAUUAUAAAAGAUUAAACUUAUGAUCAUCAUUCAAUAUUUUUUUUCAACAGACGACUCUUGUUUCCAUUCAAUUAGAAUACUAACUGACGGGGCGAAACAAGCCUUUCCACAGGCUGCUCAUUCCUGCGGACGGAUCAGCCGGAUUGUAGAGGACGGGGAUCGACAGACCGGGCCUCGGAUCAAUACCACCUCUACUCAAAGCCUGAUUGCGGAGUUUGUGACGUCAUCAGCCGUAGGCCAUUCGUAUAUAUAAUUUGCAUGGG
RNAcentral lists this long non-coding RNA (362 nucleotides) under Androctonus crassicauda. Lineage: Eukaryota; Metazoa; Arthropoda; Arachnida; Scorpiones; Buthidae. The record is from RNAcentral.